RNAcentral lists this ribosomal RNA (792 nucleotides) under Shewanella sp. 1_MG-2023. RNAcentral's name for it is "partial 23S ribosomal RNA". It matches the Rfam family "Bacterial large subunit ribosomal RNA", at positions 1385 to 2161 of the family's 2925-position model. The record is from RNAcentral. Lineage: Bacteria; Pseudomonadati; Pseudomonadota; Gammaproteobacteria; Alteromonadales; Shewanellaceae.
CGACCCCUAAGGCGAGGCCGAAAGGCGUAGUCGAUGGGAAACAGGUCAAUAUUCCUGUACUUCUGCUAACUGCGAUGGAGAGACGGAGAAGGCUAGGCUAGCGCGGCGUUGGUUGUCCGCGUUUAAGGUUGUAGGCUGUAAACUUAGGCAAAUCCGGGUUUACAUUAAGGCUGAGAACUGAUGACGAGUCCCCAAGGGGAUGAAGUAGUUGAUGCCAUGCUUCCAGGAAAAUCUUCUAAGCUUCAGGUUAGUAGGAAUCGUACCCCAAACCGACACAGGUGGUCGGGUAGAGAAUACCAAGGCGCUUGAGAGAACUCGGCUGAAGGAACUAGGCAAAAUGGUACCGUAACUUCGGGAGAAGGUACGCUGCUGGCGGUGAUGAGACUUGCUCUCUAAGCUGCUGGCAGUCGCAGAUACCAGGUGGCUGCAACUGUUUAUCAAAAACACAGUACUGUGCAAAAUCGCAAGAUGACGUAUACGGUAUGACGCCUGCCCGGUGCUUGAAGGUUAAUUGAUUGGGUUAUCUUCGGAGAAGCUCAUGAUCGAAGCCCAAGUAAACGGCGGCCGUAACUAUAACGGUCCUAAGGUAGCGAAAUUCCUUGUCGGGUAAGUUCCGACCUGCACGAAUGGCGUAAUGAUGGCCACGCUGUCUCCAGCCGAGACUCAGUGAAGUUGAAAUUGCGGUGAAGAUGCCGUAUACCCGCGGCUAGACGGAAAGACCCCGUGAACCUUUACUAUAGCUUGGCACUGAACAUUGAACCUACAUGUGUAGGAUAGGUGGGAGACUUUGAA